This 509-nucleotide ribosomal RNA is filed under the name uncultured Entrophosporaceae. Its description in RNAcentral is "SSU rRNA". It matches the Rfam family "Eukaryotic small subunit ribosomal RNA", at positions 569 to 1078 of the family's 1831-position model. Lineage: Eukaryota; Fungi; Glomeromycota; Glomeromycetes; Entrophosporales; Entrophosporaceae. The record is from RNAcentral.
CGCAGCCGCGGUAAUUCCAGCUCCAAUAGCGUAUAUUAAAGUUGUUGCAGUUAAAAGCUCGUAGUUGAAUUUCGGGAUUGACACAUCGGUCGUGCCUUAAGGGGUAUGAACUGGUGUAGUCAAUUUCUCACCUUCUGGAGAACCGCGAUGCCCUUAAUUGGGUGUCGCGGGGAACCAGGACCUUUACUUUGAAAAAUUAGAGUGUUUAAAGCAGGCAUUUUGCUUGAAUACAUUAGCAUGGAAUAAUAAAUAGGACGGCAUGAUUCUAUUUUGUUGGUUUUAGGAUCACCGUAAUGAUUAAUAGGGAUAGUUGGGGGCAUUAGUAUUCAAUUGUCAGAGGUGAAAUUCUUGGAUUUAUUGAAGACUAACUACUGCGAAAGCAUUUGCCAAGGAUGUUUUCAUUAAUCAAGAACGAAAGUUAGGGGAUCGAAGACGAUCAGAUACCGUCGUAGUCUUAACCAUAAACUAUGCCGACUAGGAAUCAGACGAUGUAAUUUUUUAAUGACUCG